CAGGAGGUGAACACUACCACAGCAAUGAAACGCAACCCUCAUCUCAUCAUGUUGAGCAGAAUCUUCCUGAGCUGCACUUUGUUUCUGUCUGAGCUGCCAGUUAAUGAUGGAGCUUCUAGAGCUUACGAGGUCUUCCAAACGCCUCCUUCCAUUAUUAAGAAACCUGGAGAAUCUGCUAUCAGUGAGAUCAGCUGUUCACACAAUGUAUCCAUUUUUGAGCGCAUCCUUUGGUACAGACAAAACAAACACGGAGCUCUGCAGUACCUGGGAUAUCUGAACAGGAACUUCCAUUACCCAGAGGACGACAUGAAAGAAAAGAUCAGCUUCGUUGGAGACGGCAGUAAAGAGUCAAGCCUGAAUAUUGCCACUGUUUCAGAUAAUGACAGUGCUGUUUAUCUCUGUGCUGCGAGUCAACACAGUAUGGCGGAAUGCCCUUAAGACAGUACAAAAACUCAGCAGAAAGAUAGAGAUCAGAACACCUGCAGUCAACCACCAUGUAAAACACACAUUGUUACUGACUGGGCUGACUCACCACUAACCAAUUAGAACGCUGUAAACUCGCAGUGACUAUUGGGGAUUUAUUUUAGAAUGAUAUUCAAUUGGAAAAAAAAUUUCUAAUUGAAUAUCAUUCAAUUCAUGGACAGC
Fundulus heteroclitus (mummichog) is the source of this 645-nucleotide non-coding RNA. The record is from the annotation of a RefSeq genome assembly. NCBI's taxonomy places the organism in Eukaryota, Metazoa, Chordata, Actinopteri, Cyprinodontiformes, Fundulidae.